GCGAGUGUAGCUCAGUUGGUAGAGCAAACGACCGAUAAUCGUUAGGUCACAGGUUCGAGCCCUGUCAUUCGCACCA
Molecule: transfer RNA, 76 nt
Filed under: bacterium
Lineage: Bacteria
Description: tRNA-Ile
Rfam family: tRNA
About the family: Transfer RNA (tRNA) molecules are approximately 80 nucleotides in length. Their secondary structure includes four short double-helical elements and three loops (D, anti-codon, and T loops).
Source: RNAcentral